Long non-coding RNA from Bradysia coprophila, 526 nucleotides. The record is from RefSeq and is a predicted model, not a curated record. NCBI's taxonomy places the organism in Eukaryota, Metazoa, Arthropoda, Insecta, Diptera, Sciaridae.
UCGUCUCUUCAUUCUCGACGAAUCGAUUUUUCGAAAUCUUCGUCAACAUAUCUUGGCAGGUCUGUGCUAUUUCUUGAUAAGUCGAUUCGUUGCAUGCAUCGGCUGCUUCUUCGAAAAUGUAUUCAUUAAUUCGCUUAUCGAUUUCAGCAACUUUUCCCAUUCUACUCUCAAUGACAUAUGUAGACAUUUGUAAGUCUUUUCUAGCUAAUUCUCUGGCUUUUAUCUUUUCCACCAAAGAACUAAACGAUUGGUUCAAUAUCUUUGCCAACGCAUUGCGUGAUUUCUUUAAAUUUUCCAAAAUCAAUUUUUACGAAUUUGACGAUUCAACCAUCAGUUUUUAGUGCAAACGAUCCUAAUUUAUCGACCUCGUCCUGUCACGGUCGCCAUGUUCGAAAUUUUAAGGAGCAGAUUCAAACAACAAUUUAUAAAAAAGGACAAAAUCGUGUUUAUUGGGAUUCUCGAUACUGAACAUAUGAACAACUGUGAUCGAAUGAAUAUUUUUCUCGUCGAUGCAGAACCUUCUACG